RNAcentral lists this long non-coding RNA (546 nucleotides) under Equus asinus (donkey). RNAcentral describes it as "lncRNA (ENSEASG00005025735.1)". The record is from RNAcentral. Lineage: Eukaryota; Metazoa; Chordata; Mammalia; Perissodactyla; Equidae.
CAGGUGCAUAAACGAAAGUGUGUCUAUUAUCCAAACAAGAAAUUCAGUCCACAGUAAAGACUCACUCACAGCAAAAGUGCGGAGCUUAGAUUAUCCAAAGGCACAAAUAUUAUAGGUGACUGUUGGAAAUUCCAGCAGGAAAACUAAUGAAAAGAUUAGAAUCAGAGAUGUUAUAAAGACCUGUCCGACAUCAUUGCUACUAAGGAGCAGAUGAGAUUUGAACUAGAAGUUACUCCUUCUGAAGACCGAACCCCUACUUGUUUCGUUAUUCCAUGCUGCCUUCGUCUGUGAAAAUGGGAGCAAUUGAAAGCAUCUCAGAAAAUCUUCUUCGUCCAAGCCACCUAGUUCCCUGGGUGCUUGUCAUGGCUGACAACAUUUUUGGUGCUGUAUGUUAAUGAACUGGCUGAAAAUUGUUACAGAACUCCUUUGAACUUCAAUGUAAAAAUCAUAAUUGCUACUAGUGGAUGCUGACAUGGCCAAAUCGUGUAUGUUUGAAAAGAAAAAUCCUGGGACUUACCCACCAAGUUUGCUAGGACUGUGAACAAG